AGCUCGUGUCGUGAGAUGUUGGGUUAAGUCCCGCAACGAGCGCAACCCACGUAUUUAGUUGCUAACGGUUCGGCCGAGCACUCUAAAUAGACUGCCUUCGUAAGGAGGAGGAAGGUGUGGACGACGUCAAGUCAUCAUGGCCCUUAUGCCCAGGGCGACACACGUGCUACAAUGGCAUAUACAAUGAGACGCAAUACCGCGAGGUGGAGCAAAUCUAUAAAAUAUGUCCCAGUUCGGAUUGUUCUCUGCAACUCGAGAGCAUGAAGCCGGAAUCGCUAGUAAUCGUAGAUCAGCCAUGCUACGGUGAAUACGUUCCCGGGUCUUGUACUCACCGCCCGUCACACCAUGGGAGUUGAUUUCACUCGAAGCCGGAAUACUAAACUAGUUACCGUCCACAGUGGAAUCAGCGACUGGGGUGAAGUCGUAACAAGGUAACCGUAGGAGAACCUGCGGUUGGAUCACCUCCUUUCUAG
This 473-nucleotide ribosomal RNA is filed under the name Campylobacter coli. Its description in RNAcentral is "bacterial SSU rRNA". It matches the Rfam family "Bacterial small subunit ribosomal RNA", at positions 1057 to 1533 of the family's 1533-position model. The record is from RNAcentral. Lineage: Bacteria; Pseudomonadati; Campylobacterota; Epsilonproteobacteria; Campylobacterales; Campylobacteraceae. RNAcentral also lists the same sequence under 1 other name.